Carlito syrichta (Philippine tarsier) is the source of this 398-nucleotide RNA transcript. It is a transcript of the gene named zinc finger protein ZIC 4 pseudogene, with no coding region annotated. The record is from RefSeq and is a predicted model, not a curated record. NCBI's taxonomy places the organism in Eukaryota, Metazoa, Chordata, Mammalia, Primates, Tarsiidae. The transcript has a single exon.
UUUCUGGAAAUUUUUUGUGGUGCUUUUCCAGAAAAUGGAAGAGGAACGGGGGGGAGGGUGGCGAGCACGAGACGAGGACGCGGCUCACGCGCACUAAUGUUUCUGCGUUGCCUCCGCCAGGCGAGAAACCCUUCAGGUGCGAGUUCGAGGGCUGUGAGCGGCGCUUCGCCAACAGCAGCGACCGCAAGAAGCAUUCGCACGUGCACACUAGCGACAAGCCAUACACGUGCAAGGUGCGCGGCUGCGACAAGUGCUACACUCACCCCAGCUCGCUGCGUAAGCACAUGAAGGUGCACGGGCGCUCGCCGCCGCCGCCCAGCUCUGGCUACGAUUCGGCUACCCCGUCUGCCCUCGUGUCGCCCUCGUCAGACUGCGGCCACGAGCCCCAGGUGGCCUCC